GACGAGGGGUCCAAGCGUUGUUCGGAAUCAUUGGGCGUAAAGCGGAUGUAGGUGGCUCUAUAAGUCAGGAGUGAAAGCCCUAAGCUUAACUUAGGAAGUGCUUUUGAUACUGCAGAGCUUGAAUGUGGGAGAGGAUCGUAGAAUUCCUGGUGUAGUGGUGAAAUACGUAGAUAUCAGGAGGAAUACCGGAGGCGAAGGCGGCGAUCUGGCCCAACAUUGACACUGAGAUCCGAAAGCGUGGGGAUCAAACAGG
Molecule: ribosomal RNA, 253 nt
Filed under: uncultured bacterium
Lineage: Bacteria
Description: partial 16S ribosomal RNA
Rfam family: Bacterial small subunit ribosomal RNA
Source: RNAcentral